RNAcentral lists this ribosomal RNA (459 nucleotides) under uncultured bacterium. RNAcentral describes it as "partial 16S ribosomal RNA". It matches the Rfam family "Bacterial small subunit ribosomal RNA", at positions 338 to 795 of the family's 1533-position model. The record is from RNAcentral.
CCUACGGGAGGCAGCAGUGAGGAAUAUUGGUCAAUGGGCGCGAGCCUGAACCAGCCAAGUCGCGUGAGGGAAGACGGUCCUAUGGAUUGUAAACCUCUUUUGUCGGGGAGCAAAAGACGCCACGCGUGGCGUUCCGAGAGUACCCGAAGAAAAAGCAUCGGCUAACUCCGUGCCAGCAGCCGCGGUAAUACGGAGGAUGCGAGUGUUAUCCGGAUUUAUUGGGUUUAAAGGGUGGGAAGGUGGAAGAUCAAGUCGGCGUUAAAAUUUGGAGGUUAAACCUCUUAGAGCCGUUGAAACUGGUUUUCUAGAGUGAAUGAGAGGUAUGCGGAAUGCGUGGUGUAGCGGUGAAAUGCGUAGAUAUCACGCAGAACUCCGAUUGCGAAGGCAGCUUACCGGCCCUCAACUGACGUUCAUGCACGAAAGUGUGGGUAUCAAACAGGAUUAGAUACCCCUGUAGUC